AUGCCAUUUCAGGAUUGCAUUAGGGCAAUAUAUGGUACUCAUGCCACUGCCAAAGUGUCGAGGUCACAGUCUGCAACAUACAGGGGUAGAAACCACUACACAAGCCAGAAUGUUAUUGUUGUUGUUGACUUCGAUCUGAAGUUCACAUAUGUGCUGGUUGGUUGGGAAGGAUCAUCACAUGAUGCUAACACUCUCAGUGAUAGUAUGAGUCGUCCUAAUGGCAUCAACAUCCUCGAUGGCAAGUUCUACCUAGGAGAUGCUGGCUAUGCAUGUCGUUCAGGUGUUCUUCCACCCUUCAGGAAAACCAGGUACCAUAUGAACAAGUUCGCCGGUAGGAACUAUAUAUACUAG
This 351-nucleotide ribosomal RNA is filed under the name Triticum aestivum (bread wheat). RNAcentral describes it as "partial small subunit ribosomal RNA". The record is from RNAcentral. Lineage: Eukaryota; Viridiplantae; Streptophyta; Magnoliopsida; Poales; Poaceae.